Molecule: long non-coding RNA, 641 nt
Filed under: Pogona vitticeps (central bearded dragon)
Lineage: Eukaryota; Metazoa; Chordata; Lepidosauria; Squamata; Agamidae
Description: lncRNA (ENSPVIG00000001973.1)
Source: RNAcentral
AGCAGGCAUUAAUUGGUCGCCUUCCUGGUUUCUGCUGGGAAAGGUACAGUAAUCACUGGGGCAUUUUUCACAUUGCUGGCAUAGUUUUCCAUCCCUCCUGCUGAGAAGCAGGGACCCUUGCAUACUUCAGAAGGGCUUAAAGGCUUGCCCUGUGCCACCACAGUAGCAGUGCUGGGCUCAGGCUGGGGUGUGGGGAAUUUGCGUUAGAAGGAUUAAAUACCAGGGCUAUUGUGGAAUUUUAAACUGUGGUUUCUUCAGCUGACCACAGGCCCAGAACUCGUGUGUGGCAUCACUGAACCUCCAAAAAUCUUGCAGGCAUCUGAUCUUUUCUUUCGUAAGAAAGAACUGAGAACUGAGGAGAGAGUCCUUCUGAAGCCACAAUCCUGACAAAUUCCAUCUUGCUCUGGCCCACAAGGGAGUUCUCUGAACUCAGUCCUUCCUUACAUGGUCCUUGUCUCCAAUGAGGCUCAGUGCUGGAGAGCACACUGAAAGGUAACACCAGGAGUCAGCUGAAUGCUUUUCAUCAUCUCAUUUCCAUGGUAUUGGUUUUUUAACCUUUAAGGCAAGCUACAUCCCCAUAGAUGGCAGCUCACUGGGCAUUGCACACUGAACAAUUAAGGUAUACGUUUGUGAACAUGCAG